UACGAAGGGGCUAGCGUUGUUCGGAAUCACUGGGCGUAAAGGGUGCGUAGGCGGAUUCUUAAGUCAGGGGUGAAAUCCCGAGGCUCAACCUCGGAACUGCCUUUGAUACUGGGGAUCUUGAGUCCGGAAGAGGGUGAGUGGAACUGCGAGUGUAGAGGUGAAAUUCGUAGAUAUUCGCAAGAACACCGGUGGCGAAGGCGGCUCACUGGUCCGGAACUGACGCUGAGGCACGACAGCGUGGGGAGCAAACAGG
RNAcentral lists this ribosomal RNA (253 nucleotides) under uncultured bacterium. RNAcentral describes it as "partial 16S ribosomal RNA". It matches the Rfam family "Bacterial small subunit ribosomal RNA", at positions 524 to 776 of the family's 1533-position model. The record is from RNAcentral.